Molecule: long non-coding RNA, 232 nt
Organism: Anthonomus grandis grandis
Lineage: Eukaryota; Metazoa; Arthropoda; Insecta; Coleoptera; Curculionidae
Exons: 3
Source: RefSeq, a predicted model, not a curated record
GUUUUUUCUCGCUAGAAAGACGUCACUUUGUAAUUUUUUCCAAGGAAAACUAAUAAUUUUCAAAUAUUUAAUUGAGCGUUCCUUUAAAGGUUAAGGCCUUCUAAAUCACUUGGUGUCAUUGAGAAAGUCGUAAGUCUUCCAGGUUCUAAGAUAUGGCCAUUUAAUAUAGCACAAUUUUUAGGGCUCUUAAGGGUUUUUUCUCGCUAGAAAGACGUCACUUUGUAAUUUUUUC